Molecule: ribosomal RNA, 492 nt
Filed under: uncultured bacterium
Lineage: Bacteria
Description: bacterial SSU rRNA
Rfam family: Bacterial small subunit ribosomal RNA
Source: RNAcentral
GAUGAACGCUAGCGGCAGGCUUAAUAUAUGCAAGUUGAGGGGCAGCAUGAUAUACGCGAGUAUAUUGAUGGCGACCGGCGGACGGGUGAGUAAUAGGUAGGAGACCUACCUCAUACAGGGGGAUAGCAUAGAGAAAUCUGUGGUAAUACCCCAUGAGGUUAUAUGAAUAGAGGCAUAUAAUCAAAGCAUAAGCGAUUAUGCGGUAUGAGAGGGGCCUACUGACCAUUAGCUAGUUGGUGAGGUAAGGGCUCACCAAGGCGAAGAUGGUUAGGGGUUUUGAGAGAGAGACCCCCCACAUUGGAACUGAGAGACGGUCCAGACUCCUACGGGAGGCAGCAGUAGGGAAUAUUGGGCAAUGGGCGAAAGCCUGACCCAGCCAUGCCGCGUGAAGGAAGACGGCCUUAGGGUUGUAAACUUCUUUACACGCGAAUAGAGGUUAGUACGAGAUACUAAUAGGAAGUAGUGUAGUAAAAGCACCGGCUAACUCCGUAG